Molecule: small RNA, 471 nt
Filed under: Pongo abelii (Sumatran orangutan)
Lineage: Eukaryota; Metazoa; Chordata; Mammalia; Primates; Hominidae
Description: processed transcript
Source: RNAcentral
UUCUUUGCUGUUAACUUGCCUGCUGUGCCUAGGAAUUAAGAGUCCGUAGGAUACCAAAUUUUCAUCAGACUUUUUUGAUGCAUCUGCUUGGGAUGUAUAAAGACAACUGGAGAUGUUAAGAAUGCUGUGUUUGAAUUUAAUUUUUCUUAGUUUUGUGUGUUUUCUCUUAGAAUUUGUGUCUUAAGGUGGUUAAAGACAGUGAUGGGCUCUUGAUUUAUUGGAAUAGGUUAUAUGAAGAUACUGGUUUAGUAUUAUGAAAUGUCCUAUGGGUUGAAUAUAGAAAUGCACAAGCAGGCAGAGAUUGUCAAGAGGCUGAAUGCUAUCUGUGCGCAAGUCAUUCCUUUCCUGUCCCAAGAGCAGCAACAACUCCAGGCCCAGCAUUUAUCACAUGGACAUGGUCUCCCCGUACCUCUGACUCCACACCCUUCAGGGCUCCAGCCCCCUGCCAUUCCACCCAUCGGUAGCAGUGCU